GCUGGGCAUGGUGGCGGGCGCCUGUAAUCUCAGCUACUUGGGAGGCUGAGGCAGGAGAAUUGCUUGAACCUGGGAGCUGGAGGUUGCAGUGAGUGGAGAUCGUGCCACUGCACUCCAGCCUGGGCAACAGAGCGAGACUCUGCCUCAA
This is an unclassified non-coding RNA of Pongo abelii (Sumatran orangutan), 148 nucleotides long. It matches the Rfam family "Metazoan signal recognition particle RNA". From Rfam's summary of the family: The signal recognition particle (SRP) is a universally conserved ribonucleoprotein. It is involved in the co-translational targeting of proteins to membranes. Lineage: Eukaryota; Metazoa; Chordata; Mammalia; Primates; Hominidae. The record is from Ensembl.